Molecule: long non-coding RNA, 1335 nt
Filed under: Zonotrichia albicollis (white-throated sparrow)
Lineage: Eukaryota; Metazoa; Chordata; Aves; Passeriformes; Passerellidae
Description: lncRNA (ENSZALG00000002077.1)
Source: RNAcentral
GUAACCCAUUGUUAUCUAUCGUUAUCUAUGGUCACCACUGGGGCACGGCCCGGGGCUCCAGGACGUCCUUGGAACGGCUGGGGAGACAGGUACGGGCACACCUGUGACACCUGUGACACCUGUGCGUAACCCAUUGCUAUCCAUUGUUAUCUAUCAUUAUCGAUUGUCCCCACUGAGGGACGGCCCGGGGCUCCAGGACAUCCUUGGAAUGGCUGGGGAGACAGGUACAGGCACACCUGAGACACCUGUGUGACACCUGUGUGACACCUGUGUGUAACCCACUGUUAUCCAUUGUCCCCACUGGGGCACGGCCCGGGGCUCCAGCACGUCCUUGGAACGGCUGCGGACAGGUAAAGGCACACCUGAGACACCUGUGUGACACCUGAGACACCUGUGACACCUGUGUGACACCUGUGACACCUGUGUGACACCUGUGUGACACCUGUGACACCUGUGCGUAACCCAUUGUUAUCUAUCAUUAUCUAUGGUCCCCACUGGGGCACGGCCCGGGGCUCCAGGACGUCCUUGGAACGGCUGGGGAGACAGGUACGGGCACACCUGUGACACCUGUGUGACACCUGAGACACCUGAGCAUCACCUGUGACACCUGAGAGUAACUCAUUGUUAUCUAUCAUUAUCCAUUGUCACCACUGGGGCACAGUCCGGGGCUCCAGCAUGUCCUUGGAACGGCUGGGGACAGGUAAAGGCACACCUGAGACACCUGUGUGACACCUGUGUGACACCUGUGUGACACCUGUGACACCUGUGUGUAACCCAUUGCUAUCCAUUGUCACCACUGGGGGACAGCCCGGGGCUCCAGGACAUCCUUGGAACGGCUGCGGAGACAGGUAAAGGCACACCUGUGACACCUGUGUGACACCUGUGUGACACCUGAGACACCUGUGUGACACAUACUGACACCCAUUGUUAUCCAUUGUCACCACUGGGGCACGGCCCGGGGCUCCAGGACAUCCUUGGAACGGCUGGGGAGACAGGUACGGGCACACCUGUGACACCUGUGACACCUGUGACACCUGUGUGACACCUGUGUGUAACCCAUUGUUAUCCAUUGUUAUCUAUUGUUAUCUAUCAUUAUCCAUUGUCCCCACUGAGGCACGGCCCGGGGCUCCAGGACGUCCUUGGAACGGCUGUGGGACACACCUGUGUUACCUGAGUGUCACCUGUGCCCAGGUGUGUCACCUGUCCCUCACCUGCAGAUGGGCACCACCAUGGGGUUCUGUGUGUUACCUGUGCCCAGGUGUGUCCCCAGGUGUGUCCCCAGGUGUGUCUCACCUGCAGAUGAGCACCACCAUGGGGUUCUGUGUCCCCAGGUGU